AUCUCAUUUCUAUCAUUAUUAGUUACAUUACUUUGUAAUUGUAGUUUAAUUAGUAGAUUACUUAUAUUUAUUGUUAAAGAUUGCAUUUGGAGCUAUUUGUUAAAAUUUUACUAAGUGUAAAUUGAAAUUGAAAUUGAAUGUUUUUGAAAUAUAUUUACUGCUUUCAUUGCCUUCACUCUUUUAUCAAUAAUACCUCUAAUUGAGGCAUGAACAUCCCUUUCAAUUUCCUUCAUUCUUUUGUUCCUCUUUAUUGGCAAAAACCUAUGAAAUGGUCCAAUAAAUAAGAAAUUUGAAAGUGAAAGAGACAUCCAUUCUGUCGUGGUAGCUCUCUGUUCCUGUGACUGUGUAGUACUUCUUUGCAGGUAUUAGAAUGGACUGGAAUUUGAUAUUUACAAAACUUGUGAAUGUUACACUGGAGAACUACCUCUUGCUAUAACAUCUUCCCUCUUUUUCAGGUCCUAAAUGAAACCAAUAAAACAGCCAAUUAAUAGUAUAUAAAAUGCCUAAAGAGAAAUAUAGUCAAUACCAUAGAUUCCUUCAAACACUAAUUCGAGGAAUCUUACAAGCUUACCUGUUCUUUUUUUUUUUUUUUUCAGUUCAGCUUCUUUAGCUUGGAGUUCUUUCUCUUUAUAUCUUCGUACUAGUUUGCCAUUAUGAAGCUUUGAUAUGAAAAAGGAAAAAAACAAGAGAAAUGUUUAAAACCAACAAAAGAGUGUGUUCCACUUUUAAAUUUGUCACUAAAGCUCUAGCUUGAAAGCAACCUCUGCACUGAAAGCAACUUCAGCUAUCUGGAAUCAGCACAUUCACAAUAGCAGCUGAAAUUCCAUAUUGCAGAAGCAUUUUUUUUUUUUGGCAGAAGCAUAUUCAGGUUUUUGUAACAGCUUUUGGUUCAUGUUUUUAGACUGCAUAUUCAGAAAUGUGUUAAAGGCGAAAGCUGGUAUAAUUUAACUAAUACAGAGUUGUUGAUUAUUUUCCAUCGUUCAUGUUGAUUGUAGCACAAUACUGCCUGCUAAUACAGAGUUGUUGAUUAUGGAGAAAGGAGUGAAAUAGGUUGUGACUACUGCUGCUAAUACAGUGUUGCUGGAUUUCUUGACAUAUAGUAACAUCUCCCAUAUUUCAUUUUUUACUUGUGGCUCGUUUGGAUAUGAAAUUAGUUGUUAAUCUUGAUUUGUUUGCAGACACUCGAGAGGGGUUAGGAAGUACCUCAAGAUGAAGUCUUCAAGAUUACUCACACGAGGAGUCGAAGAACGCCGAUGGUACAGACCAAUGGAUUGAGCCAAGGGCUUAGCAAACCUAUACCGAGUAUCAACAACACAAGUUGGAAUAUUGUGCCAGUCAGCCAGCCGGGACGUCAAUGACCAACGAGGUAAUUGAUCGGCAGUGGAUGGAGAAGGUUGCUCCCCCGACAAGGUAUGGGACAGUUUAUGGGAUCCCUAAUCGAGCUUGUCAUCAAUUCCCGUCGUUCCUUCAAGGUGUAGGUGCUACUUCUGAGGGGGCAGUGGAUCCUAAGGAGUACCAAGAAAUGAAGCAGAAAGUUACUCAACUAACACGUACACUUAGUGCCACGGAGGCAACGAUGUUGGGUAUGCAGGCCCAAAUAGACAGCCUACUCAAUUCGGGGGCCUUUCCGAUUCCCCCGUGUCCCGGGGAUGCUCGUAGGUCACAGGCCAACGUAGUUCAUGGUCUUGUUGAUGAGGAUAGUGGGGAGGAUUCGGAUCAUGUCUUUAACACCCAACGUUGACUCUUUUGAUUCGUAUACUUUUGGACUCUAAUAUUGCUAUGUUUUCUUGGAUAUGUAUAUGAUAUUUGAUUGUAGUUUUAAUUCGAAUUAGAUGUACUUUUGAAGGUGAAUUUGAUUGUAGAAAGUAGUUUAUGGUUGUUUAAUUUUAUGGUGUUUUAAGUGUUUGAAUGUAGUUUUAAGGAUAUUUAGAAGUACUUUGAA
This is a long non-coding RNA of Lycium ferocissimum, 1942 nucleotides long. RefSeq lists it as uncharacterized. Lineage: Eukaryota; Viridiplantae; Streptophyta; Magnoliopsida; Solanales; Solanaceae. The transcript is spliced from 4 exons. The record is from RefSeq and is a predicted model, not a curated record.